AUUGAACGCUGGCGGCAGGCCUAACACAUGCAAGUCGAACGGUAGCACAGAGAGCUUGCUCUCGGGUGACGAGUGGCGGACGGGUGAGUAAUGUCUGGGAAACUGCCUGAUGGAGGGGGAUAACUACUGGAAACGGUAGCUAAUACCGCAUAACGUCGCAAGACCAAAGAGGGGGACCUUCGGGCCUCUUGCCAUCAGAUGUGCCCAGAUGGGAUUAGCUAGUAGGUGGGGUAAUGGCUCACCUAGGCGACGAUCCCUAGCUGGUCUGAGAGGAUGACCAGCCACACUGGAACUGAGACACGGUCCAGACUCCUACGGGAGGCAGCAGUGGGGAAUAUUGCACAAUGGGCGCAAGCCUGAUGCAGCCAUGCCGCGUGUAUGAAGAAGGCCUUCGGGUUGUAAAGUACUUUCAGCGGGGAGGAAGGUGUUGUGGUUAAUAACCGCAGCAAUUGACGUUACCCGCAGAAGAAGCACCGGCUAACUCC
Molecule: ribosomal RNA, 485 nt
Filed under: Leclercia sp. cc770
Lineage: Bacteria; Pseudomonadati; Pseudomonadota; Gammaproteobacteria; Enterobacterales; Enterobacteriaceae
Description: bacterial SSU rRNA
Rfam family: Bacterial small subunit ribosomal RNA
Source: RNAcentral